This 187-nucleotide ribosomal RNA is filed under the name uncultured bacterium. RNAcentral describes it as "partial 16S ribosomal RNA". It matches the Rfam family "Bacterial small subunit ribosomal RNA", at positions 1315 to 1500 of the family's 1533-position model. The record is from RNAcentral.
CCUACAUGAAGUUGGAAUUGCUAGUAAUGGCAGGUCAGCAUACUGCCGUGAAUACGUUCCCGGGCCUUGUACACACCGCCCGUCACACCAUGAGAGUUGGAGAUACCCGAAGCCUGUGAGCUAACUUUUUAAGAGGCAGCAGUCGAAGGUAGAAUCAAUGAUUGGGGUGAAGUCGUAACAAGGUAGC